AGACGUCUACAUUAGAUACCCCGUAGUCCCAGCCGUAAACUAUGCGCGUUAGGUGUAUCGGUGACCACGAGUUACCGAGGUGCCGAAGGGAAACCGUGAAACGUGCCGCCUGGGAAGUACGGUCGCAAGGCUGAAACUUAAAGGAAUUGGCGGGGAGCACCACAACAGGUGGAGCCUGCGGUUUAAUUGGACUCAACGCCGGGAAGCUCACCGGAUAGGACAGCAGAAUGAUUGCCGGGCUGAAGACCCUGCAUGACUAGCUG
Molecule: ribosomal RNA, 263 nt
Filed under: uncultured archaeon
Lineage: Archaea
Description: partial 16S ribosomal RNA
Rfam family: Archaeal small subunit ribosomal RNA
Source: RNAcentral